RNAcentral lists this ribosomal RNA (374 nucleotides) under uncultured organism. RNAcentral's name for it is "bacterial SSU rRNA". It matches the Rfam family "Bacterial small subunit ribosomal RNA", at positions 526 to 896 of the family's 1533-position model. The record is from RNAcentral.
CGGGGGGAGCAAGCGUUGUUCGGAUUUACUGGGCGUAAAGGGCGGGUAGGCGGCCACCGCAAGUCGGUUGUGAAAUCUCCGGGCUUAACUCGGAAAGGUCAAUCGAUACUGCGGGGCUAGAGUGCAGAAGGGGCAACUGGAAUUCUCGGUGUAGCGGUGAAAUGCGUAGAUAUCGAGAGGAACACCUGCGGCGAAGGCGGGUUGCUGGGCUGACACUGACGCUGAACUGCGAAAGCUAGGGGAGCGAACGGGAUUAGAUACCCCGGUAGUCCUAGCCUUAAACGAUGAAUGCUUGGUGUCUGGGGUUUUAUAGUCCCCGGGUGCCGUCGCUAACGCUUUAAGCAUUCCGCCUGGGGAGUACGGUCGCAAGACUG